This is a non-coding RNA of Apis mellifera (honey bee), 97 nucleotides long. The record is from RefSeq and is marked provisional. Lineage: Eukaryota; Metazoa; Arthropoda; Insecta; Hymenoptera; Apidae.
CGGUGCGUGAAGGGGCAGGAGGAGGGGGGGAGAGAGAAGCGUUGUACGAGCGUAUUUUGCCCGUUUUUCGGCCACGUUCCUAUCGAUUCGCGAACCA